GAAUUGACGGGGGCCCGCACAAGCGGUGGAGCAUGUGGUUUAAUUUGACAACGCGAAGAACCUUACCAGGGUUUGACAUGACGUAAAUUUCUUUGAGAAAAGAAAGUGCCGUAAGGAAUACGUACACAGGUGGUGCACGGCUGUCGUCAGCUCGUGUCGUGAGAUGUUGGGUUAAGUCCCGCAACGAGCGCAACCCUUGUUUUUAGUUGCCGUUAGGAAAUCUAAAAAGACUGCCGAUUCAACAUCGGAGGAAGGAAAGGACGACGUCAAGUCAUCAUGCCCCUUAUACCCUGGGCUACACACGUGCUACAAAGAGUAAGACAAUGAGCAGCUAACCUGUGAAGGGGUGCGAAUCUCCAAACUUACUCUCAGUUCGGAUUGUAGGCUGCAACUCGCCUACAUGAAGGUGGAAUCGCUAGUAAUCGCAGGUCAGAAUACUGCGGUGAAUACGUUCCCGGGCCUUGUACACACCGCCCGUCACAUCAUGGGAGUUGGCUUUACCCGAAGGUGGUGCGCUAACCUAGCAAUAGGAGGCAGCCAACCACGGUAAGGUCAGCGACUGGGAUGAAGUCGGAACAAGGUAGCCCUA
This 589-nucleotide ribosomal RNA is filed under the name Phaeomonas parva. RNAcentral's name for it is "partial Bacterial small subunit ribosomal RNA". It matches the Rfam family "Bacterial small subunit ribosomal RNA", at positions 907 to 1504 of the family's 1533-position model. Lineage: Eukaryota; Pinguiophyceae; Pinguiochrysidales; Pinguiochrysidaceae. The record is from RNAcentral.